GGGGAUAUAGCUUUGUGGCACAAGCACCUGCCUGGCAAGUAGAAGGUCCUAAGUUCGAUUCCUGGUACCCA
Molecule: transfer RNA, 71 nt
Filed under: Cavia porcellus (domestic guinea pig)
Lineage: Eukaryota; Metazoa; Chordata; Mammalia; Rodentia; Caviidae
Rfam family: tRNA
About the family: Transfer RNA (tRNA) molecules are approximately 80 nucleotides in length.
Source: Rfam by way of RNAcentral